Long non-coding RNA from Mauremys reevesii (Reeves's turtle), 631 nucleotides. RefSeq lists it as uncharacterized. The transcript has 3 exons. NCBI's taxonomy places the organism in Eukaryota, Metazoa, Chordata, Testudines, Geoemydidae. The record is from RefSeq and is a predicted model, not a curated record.
ACAGUUCCCCCAGGAGAUAUAAGGAGGCCCCAUGCUACUGUUCAUACCUUUCAUACCUAACAGUAGUGCUAAUGGACCCCAAGCAUGGAUCAGAGCACUAUUGUGCUAGGUGCUGUACAAGCAGGUAACAAUAAGAUUGUCCCUCCCACAAGGUGCUUACAAUUGAAGUAUGAGUCGAGAGACAACACAUGGAUAUGACAAAUGGAUGGAGGAGCACAAGAAUAUGUCAGGACUUGAACUGAUGCCAUCACAGCCCUAGCUCCUCCAAUUCUGUGCCUACGACCUACAGUCACCAUGGCUUUUGGAAGGGACCACUGGUUGAGACUCCAGCCCUCUUGAAGCCAGGUGCAGCUGUGGAAAUCAGUCACUUCAAUCAAAAGCCUCUGUCAGCUUCCACAGCACUGUCAUUUUUUACAUUUGGAUAUUGCUGAAAUCCCGAAAUAGACAAUUCUCUGAAUGUCUUUACAUCUAUUCUACCUUUGGGUGGUGCUUUUGAGCAGUGCUGCACUGUGGUUCCUGUGCUAAGAAAUUUAACAGCAUUAAUAUUUUUACACUUUAUACUAACAUAACAUUUCUUUUGUGAUAGUAUGGAGUCAAAAUUGCUCUGUGUAUUUUAACACACAUUGCAACA